Molecule: ribosomal RNA, 468 nt
Filed under: uncultured bacterium
Lineage: Bacteria
Description: partial 16S ribosomal RNA
Rfam family: Bacterial small subunit ribosomal RNA
Source: RNAcentral
GACGAACGCUGGCGGCGUUCUUAACACAUGCAAGUCGAACGGAAAGGCCCUGCUUUUGUGGGGUGCUCGAGUGGCGAACGGGUGAGUAACACGUGAGUAACCUGCCCUUGACUUUGGGAUAACUUCAGGAAACUGGGGCUAAUACCGGAUAGGAGCUCCUGCUGCAUGGUGGGGGUUGGAAAGUUUCGGCGGUUGGGGAUGGACUCGCGGCUUAUCAGCUUGUUUGUGGGGUAGUGGCUUACAAAGGCUUUGACGGUUCGCCGGCCUGAGAGGGUGACCAGCCCCAUCGGGACUAACAAAAUGACCAGAAUCCUUCGCGAGACAAAGGGGCGGAAUAAUGCACAAUGCACGGAAACCAAGAGCGCCAACACCGGUAGCGGAAUCACGGACUUAGGAAUAUAAACAGCUUUCGCCUGUGAAAACACGUGAGUGACGAUAAUCGGUAGCAAGACACAGACGAACUACAUC